Molecule: long non-coding RNA, 560 nt
Filed under: Olea europaea subsp. europaea
Lineage: Eukaryota; Viridiplantae; Streptophyta; Magnoliopsida; Lamiales; Oleaceae
Source: RNAcentral
UCUGAACCCAUAAUAUCCAAGUCACAUUUAAAAAAAUAAAUAAAUAAAUUAAAAAAAAAAACUCAAAAUCAUAAUCCAAUAGAAUUCUAAAAUUUCCAAUUGACCCCAAAUUCUUCUUCUUCCAUCUUCUUCUUCUCCAUACAUUCAUCUCCAGCGAUAAAACUCGGGUGACGGAAGCUACACUGAAUUGCCUUUAGCUGGCUUCAUUAUCUCAUCAAUAUUAUACGUCUUAGAUGACGAAAGGGAUGUCUAGCGAUCACGCCUUCGAAAAUUCCCCUCUAUUAACUUCUCAAUCUCUUGCUUCAACUAUGAUUCACCAAUAUCAGUCGAAACAUAUUUCAAAAGGGUAGUGUUGAUUCUGCUGAACAUUUUCUUUUCCCGGGUUAUAUCCUGCAUUAUCUGUAGCAAGAUGCUAUACAGCGGACCCAAAGCGCUCUUCAUUGAAGAGUAUGUAAAUGGGUUGUUAAAAUCAUAAAAAUCUAAAUGGGAGACGGGUGUUUUUUUAAAGACAUUGAGUCUUGUUGUGGCAGCAGUGAUUGUAGGAAAGUUGAAGGUGAAUA